Lutra lutra (Eurasian river otter) is the source of this 2907-nucleotide RNA transcript. It is a transcript of the gene named transmembrane protein 107, with no coding region annotated. Lineage: Eukaryota; Metazoa; Chordata; Mammalia; Carnivora; Mustelidae. The transcript is spliced from 4 exons. The record is from RefSeq and is a predicted model, not a curated record.
GCAGAGAGCAACGGCGAGAACUUUCCGUUCUGCCUGGAUCUCAGCAGAGGGCCCAAGGUCAGAGAGGGCGCUGACAGUAAGAGGUCCUCGGACUGCUGCUGGGCCAAGUCAGGUGCCCACACCUCGGAGAGAUAAGGAAAUUCGAGCACAGUCGGCGCCGCCACCCGCUCCUUGCCUUCCAGCGGGGCAGGGCUCGUGCCCUUGGCCGGGUCACCGCUCCCUCCCCGGACGCGCCUCGCUUCCACGUGCAGAGCCAACUUUUGCUCUCUGGCGAUUCCCUCGCCACUGAGCCAAGUCGUCUGGGGGUUCGAGGGGAGCGGGAGGUCAGAGGAUCAAGGAAGGUUCCGGUCCGGGGUCCUCGGAUCAUCAGGGACACCGUGACCAUCUAGUAAAUGACGGCGGACAAGGCAGGGGCAUCCACGUCUCCGCGUUCCGUUCCCGCGCCUGCGGCGCCCCAGGGUGGUGGGAAGCACGGGGAGGCGGAGGAGGGAGAGCGUGUCCCUGCCUUAGGCCCGGCGACGCCCUAAGACCGGCUCAACGGGGACAGCGGUGUCUGGAGAGCACCUCGAGCCGCGGGCCCUCUCAGUCCAAGCGGCGGGGACCGAGGGCCGCACCGCACCCCUCGCGGCCACCCGCGACUCGCGCCGCCGCUCGAGAAAUGACUGCUCUCGCGAGAUUUCCCGAGAUCGGGCCGCCGCGCCCGCGGACGCGGUUGCCAAGGUAACUGGGAGGCGCCAGCGCAAGCGGGAAGGAGGCGGCGGUCGAAUUUUUGCGUGCGGGCGGGAGAGACUUGAGGAGUGGCCCUUCCUGAGCUUUCAGCCCCGCAGAGCGCGCCCUCCGCUGCAGUCGGUACCCCUGCCCCCGCGGGGCCAUGGGCCGGAUCUCGGGGCUCGUGCCCUCUCGCUUCCUGACGCUCCUGGCGCAUCUGGUGGUCGUCAUCACCUUGUUCUGGUCCCGGGACAGCAACAUCCAGGCCUGCCUGCCUCUCACGUUCACCCCGGAGGAGUACGAGAAACAGGACAUUCGUGCCCUCCCCGCUAUCACCGAAAUAGCAUUGUUCAUCAGCGUCUUUGGGCUGAAAAAGAAACCUUUCUGAUACGUUCAUGGCGGGAGCAUAGGAUUGAAGGUUGGAGGAGCAAGGGACAGCUCACCAGUCCUGGAAGAAGAAAGGACAUCUUCAGCCCUCCACAGUAACACUGCAUUUGGUGGAGGAUGUCAUUUUUCCUGUUAGGGGCAGUGGUGUGGGUGUCUCCAGAUUUGGAAUAAGUCGCUUUUCCUGUCGCUCCUACUUGGUGUCUCACCCAUUCUCUCUCGCCGUGGCAGAGAGGACCACCAGCUGCGGAGGUGGGCAUUGGCUUCCCCGGGGGCGACGUCAGGGGUGUGGUGAGAACCCGGGGGCGACGUCAGGGGUGUGGUGAGAACCCGCAGCUCUGCCUGCUAGCACGCGGCCGGAACGUGCUCAGAGGGAGUUUGGAAACACAAUUGGGCCUAGUGCGGACGCGCCAGCAGAGUCUGAAGGGCUGACGAGUGUUCGCGAGGUCCAGUUUCCUCGCGCAGGUCAGUGUUAUGUACGGGAAGAUUAUCUGUCCUAAAUGAUGGAGCCCAGGCCGUCCUAAAUGAGCAAAGGCGUCCAAGGUGAUGCCUCACACACAUGGAACCAACCUUUCCCUCCGCGCCUGUGCCCUCUGGCAGCCUUUCAUCUUGAGCGUUUAUUGGCUACUUACUGAGCACCUAACUCUAUGCAAAGGCACUGUGGUAGGCACUGUGGGAGUCGUGCUGAACAUGAUGCCUGCUUAGCCUCAGCCAUCACAGAUCCUGUGGCUCCUGGGGUCCGGCGGUGUAGCUGGAGCAGAAUUGGGGGGUAGACUGUGCUGGAAGCAAGGAAGGUGGACAUUGCGGGUCGUGCUUACAGACUAGUCAGGAAGGUCACAUCCCACGGCAGUCUGGCUGUCGCCCGCACCCACGUAUGGGGUUCGCUGAUUGCUGAAAGCGGACUUUUUGUUUUUCAGAAACACUGGGGGCUAGUUGCGCCACAGCUAUGAUCAGAAAUCAUGUAAACUCCACAGAUGAAUUAUAUUUAAAAACAGAGGUGUAAAAAAAAAAAAAAAGAAUCCCAGAGGUAAUAUAUGCAAAACUCAUGACUUCCUGAUUUUUUUUUGUUUCUUUUUUUAGUUUGUAGGAAUUUUUUUUUUUUAAUUUUACUGAGUAUAGUUGACACACAGUGUUCCAUUAGUUUCAGGUUCCUGAUUAUUUCCUACGUUUUACUGUCAUGUGCUCUGGCACUCAUUUACAUGUAUUGUGUCUGUAUAGUGGCGGUGCUGUAUAAGGAUGGGCCAGUACGUGUGUUUCUCUUCCCAACUCAUAGAGACACCAAGUUGACAUUUUGAAUUCGGCCCCGGUAAGAGUAUUUACACCCCAGAAAUUGGCGAACGCUACAUAUCGGGCUUUGUUGGUUGUCUAGAUUUAAGAAGGUGAUGGAGGAAAUGUUAAUAAUGCAUGUUAAAUUGAAAAAUGUCACGCCUGUUACAUUGUGAAUGGCACCCAAAAUGAAAUUCCCCCCAGAAGUUGCAAAUUAUUGUCAGAUUCAGCAAAUAAGUUCGUCAAGUCAUUGAGGAAGGAGUGAAAUCUUCACACAUCCCCAGUGUUUCAUUUUUGUCUUACUCAAAAAUGUGAAUUAAAAUAUCAACCAGCAUUCAUACUGGAAAUACCUUGGAGUUGGGACACAACUCGGUCUAUGUAGUCAUGAAUACAAGAGUGGAAUUUACAAUUAAGAAUAUUGUAUGUUUUGGGGCACCUGGGUGGCUCAGUGGGUUAAGCCUCUGCCUUCCGCUCAGGUCAUGAUCUCAGGGUUCUGGGAUCGAGCCCCGCAUCGGGCUCUCUGCUCAGCAGUGAGCCUGCUUCCUCCUC